AUCACGGUUAUGUACUUACGGAAGAUUAAUUAUUAAUAUACUACCCUACAUAAUGACGAUUAUGAAAGUGCUGGAAACUUUUAAAAGAGCAGGGAUACAGGCGCGCCUUCUAUCUGGUAAAUGACGUCAUAAAGGCGUUCGAAAUUGACGAUAUUUUCCGGUGAAAGACAUGAUUCCAGCAAUGACCUAUUGUAAAUACAUUUAAAUAAGAAGAUGUGGUAUAAGUGCCAAAGAGACAACAUUACAACAAAGUCACAAUGUAGAAAAUGUAGUAAAUGUUAA
RNAcentral lists this long non-coding RNA (282 nucleotides) under Mytilus galloprovincialis (Mediterranean mussel). The record is from RNAcentral. Lineage: Eukaryota; Metazoa; Mollusca; Bivalvia; Mytilida; Mytilidae.